AGUGAACGCUGGCGGUAGGCCUAACACAUGCAAGUCGAACGGCAGCACAGUAAGAGCUUGCUCUUACGGGUGGCGAGUGGCGGACGGGUGAGGAAUACAUCGGAAUCUACUUUUUCGUGGGGGAUAACGUAGGGAAACUUACGCUAAUACCGCAUACGACCUACGGGUGAAAGCAGGGGAUCUUCGGACCUUGCGCGAUUGAAUGAGCCGAUGUCGGAUUAGCUAGUUGGCGGGGGAAAGGCCCACCAAGGCGACGAUCCGUAGCUGGUCUGAGAGGAUGAUCAGCCACACUGGAACUGAGACACGGUCCAGACUCCUACGGGAGGCAGCGGUGGGGAAUAUUGGACAAUGGGCGCAAUCCUGAUCCAGCCAUACCGCGUGGGUGAAGAAGGCCUUCGGGUUGUAAAGCCCUUUUGUUGGGAAAGAAAAGCAGCAGGUUAAUACCCCGCUGUUCUGACGGUACCCAAAGAAUAAGCACCGGCUAACUUCGU
Molecule: ribosomal RNA, 491 nt
Filed under: uncultured bacterium
Lineage: Bacteria
Description: partial 16S ribosomal RNA
Rfam family: Bacterial small subunit ribosomal RNA
Source: RNAcentral